UGCCAGCAGCCGCGGUAAUACGGAGGGUGCGAGCGUUAAUCGGAAUUACUGGGCGUAAAGCGCGCGUAGGUGGUCUGUUAAGUCGGGGUGAAAUCCCGGGGCUCAACCCCGGAACUGCCUCCAAAACUAUCAGUCUAGAGUUCGAGAGAGGUGAGUGGAAUUCCAAGUGUAGAGGUGAAAUUCGUAGAUAUUUGGAGGAACACCAGUGGCGAAGGCGGCUCACUGGCUCGAUACUGACGCUGAGGUGCGAAAGUGUGGGGAGCAAACAGGAUUAGAAA
RNAcentral lists this ribosomal RNA (278 nucleotides) under uncultured bacterium. RNAcentral describes it as "partial 16S ribosomal RNA". It matches the Rfam family "Bacterial small subunit ribosomal RNA", at positions 506 to 784 of the family's 1533-position model. The record is from RNAcentral.